AGAGCCUAGAGUGAAGCGAUCCCUUUCAUAAUCACUGCUUUUCUUUUGAUCUAUACCACAAAGAGUCUGACUACCAACUACAACAGAGCUGUAAAAUCCCAACAAACUACACUAAUUCAGGUGAAAGAGCGACAUAACCUAAUUUUGAUCUAUAAUCCUUAGAAAAACCCGACGUACCUCAUGCCAGGGGCUUAAAAGGGAGGUCUGAACACAAAGCCUGAUUAGGGAUGACUGUUUGGCAGAGCCACGGAUAGGCAAAAUUAGAUUAAUUUGCUUUUGACACACUGUAAUAAUCUAAUAGCAUUUAGCUCAGUGAACCCAGGCUUUAACAAUGGCGGUGAAUACUCUUUAACCUGAAACCCAGCCAGAAGCAGCUCCAGAACCCAGCCAACACAUCUAAGGAUUAAAAGCCCUCAGUAACCUGAUGGAUGCAACUCCAAUUACAAGCUUAUCAAACUGACAAAAACCGCAGCACGGUUAAUUAUAGACCAAACCGAAAUAGACAGCCAGCGCUGGACUCCCAAAAGUAGUCAUAAGGCAAUCUGGCCCACACAAGCCACCAGCGUCGAACAUUUCUUCUGCCGGAAGUUGAUGCGUACCCUCUGCACACUGACGUGGGCCACUGGACGUGACUGAUGCAUGUUGUGCUUUUGAGUGUCAGUUUUGAAGCUAACUGAAAGCAGCACUUGACAGAGAAGAGAGAAUGAUGUGAGCAGAAAGAGAGAGAAAUGAAAAUGAGUCAUAUCUCUAAGGACGCAGACAAGAGAGGAGAGCUGUGCACAGGCACGACUGUCACUGGCCGCAGACACAUGAAUAAAUAAAGGCAUUAUAAUGAAGACAACUCUCCGUCUGCCCAUCAGAGCCUGCCCAGUCUGGCACCAAAGCUCAGGAGGGAGAGAAAGAGAGGAGCAAACGAAUUUUAAAAAAAGACGAAAGAUCGAGAGACAGAACGAGACGGGAGAGGAAGAGAGAGCGGCCCAUCACUGUGAUUGACAAUGAUGAGCACUGUCUGCUUCUAUUAAAUCAAUCAAUCAUCGCUAUAGGACUCAAGUCUCGGUUCUCUCAAUAGGCUAACAAGCUCAGGACUUCACUGUUUCUCUCAGCCGUUUACUCUCAUGUCCCCCCCGCAAAGUGAAACAUCUGGUCAGUUUCUCUUAUCUGCUUUAUUUCACGCUUUGGUGGCUGGGGUGUUGAGUUGUGUGCCAUUUCCCCUGCGUGCCCCCUGCCAAUGGUGUCAUAUUUGGACUGCUGUCUGUGACAUUCUCUUUAACACCUCCCACCGCUGGGAUGUGACAUCCUCACCACAGCGACAGGGCCGGAGGAGGAAGACAGCCGGCGACUCGGCGAGGGAUGAUCAGAUGCGUGCGGGCCUGUCAGGGGUCUUCAUCGCUCUGUCCAGACUAGGAAUAAGUUAUGCUGCUUGAGUUAUUCAAGAACCGACUAGUCGAUUACGGAGAUUGACUAGACCUUUUCUUUCUUUUUUUUUUUUUACUGUCCAGCUGAAAGAGACACCAACACAGCUGGUAUUAACCCAGUUUGAAAUUGACCCCACCCCCCCGCCCUCCUCUGAGAAAGAAAGAGACUUUCAAAAGCUGGAGGCAGUGCUCCAUUCAAACUGAGCUACAGGAUCAGAGGCUUUGCAGAGUGACCUUUGACCCCACAGUGCCGCAAGGGUUUGCAAAGCAACAAAAGCCAGUUUUGCAUCCCUCACAGCCUGACAAGAACAUGACUCGCCUGCUACUUGCUGAAUUGAGAAAAGAGGAUCUUGGACCUUGGAUUUCUUUGUGCUGUACAGAUAGAGAUGUAAAAGGAGAAAUCUUUAAACUUCUCAAUAACACAGUUGAGAGACAAG
Carassius carassius (crucian carp) is the source of this 1852-nucleotide long non-coding RNA. RefSeq lists it as uncharacterized. The record is from RefSeq and is a predicted model, not a curated record. NCBI's taxonomy places the organism in Eukaryota, Metazoa, Chordata, Actinopteri, Cypriniformes, Cyprinidae. The transcript is spliced from 3 exons.